UGCAAGUCGAACGAGAAUCUGCGGAAAGAGGAUUCGUCCAAUUGAAGCAGAGGACAGUGGCGGACGGGUGAGUAACGCGUGAGGAACCUGCCUUUCAGAGGGGGACAACAGUUGGAAACGACUGCUAAUACCGCAUGACAUAUAGAUGUCGCAUGGCAUUUAUAUCAAAGAUUUAUCGCUGAAAGAUGGCCUCGCGUCUGAUUAGCUAGUUGGUGAGGUAACGGCCCACCAAGGCGACGAUCAGUAGCCGGACUGAGAGGUUGAACGGCCACAUUGGGACUGAGAUACGGCCCAGACUCCUACGGGAGGCAGCAGUGGGGAAUAUUGGGCAAUGGGCGCAAGCCUGACCCAGCAACGCCGCGUGAAGGAAGAAGGCUUUCGGGUUGUAAACUUCUUUUGUCAGGGACGAGUAGAAGACGGUACCUGACGAAUAAGCCACGGCUAACUACGUGCCAGCAGCCGCGGUAAUACGUAGGUGGCAAGCGUUGUCCGGAUUUACUGGGUGUAAAGGGCGUGUAGCCGGGAGGGCAAGUCAGAUGUGAAAUCCACGGGCUCAACUCGUGAACUGCAUUUGAAACUACUCUUCUUGAGUAUCGGAGAGGCAAUCGGAAUUCCUAGUGUAGCGGUGAAAUGCGUAGAUAUUAG
This 645-nucleotide ribosomal RNA is filed under the name uncultured bacterium. Its description in RNAcentral is "bacterial SSU rRNA". It matches the Rfam family "Bacterial small subunit ribosomal RNA", at positions 56 to 700 of the family's 1533-position model. The record is from RNAcentral.